RNAcentral lists this ribosomal RNA (220 nucleotides) under uncultured bacterium. Its description in RNAcentral is "partial 16S ribosomal RNA". It matches the Rfam family "Bacterial small subunit ribosomal RNA", at positions 521 to 739 of the family's 1533-position model. The record is from RNAcentral.
UAAUACGGGGGGAGCAAGCGUUGUUCGGAUUUACUGGGCGUAAAGGGCGCGUAGGCGGCCAGCACAAGUCAGUUGUGAAAUCUCCGAGCUUAACUCGGAAAGGUCAACUGAUACUGUGCGGCUAGAGUGCGGAAGGGGCAACUGGAAUUCUUGGUGUAGCGGUGAAAUGCGUAGAUAUCAAGAGGAACACCUGCGGCGAAGGCGGGUUGCUGGGCCGACA